GAUGAACGCUGGCGGCGUGCUUAACACAUGCAAGUCGAACGGGAAACCUUUUAUUGAAGCUUCGGCAGAUUUAGCUGGUUUCUAGUGGCGGACGGGUGAGUAACGCGUGGGUAACCUGCCUUAUACAGGGGGAUAACAACCAGAAAUGGUUGCUAAUACCGCAUAAGCGCACAGGACCGCAUGGUCCGGUGUGAAAAACUCCGGUGGUAUAAGAUGGACCCGCGUUGGAUUAGCUAGUUGGCAGGGUAACGGCCUACCAAGGCGACGAUCCAUAGCCGGCCUGAGAGGGUGAACGGCCACAUUGGGACUGAGACACGGCCCAGACCCCUACGGGAGGCAGCAGUGGGGAAUAUUGCACAAUGGGGGAAACCCUGAUGCAGCGACGCCGCGUGAAGGAAGAAGUAUCUCGGUAUGUAAACUUCUAUCAGCAGGGAAGAUAGUGACGGUACCUGACUAAGAAGCCCCGGCUAACUACGUG
This 478-nucleotide ribosomal RNA is filed under the name uncultured bacterium. RNAcentral describes it as "partial 16S ribosomal RNA". It matches the Rfam family "Bacterial small subunit ribosomal RNA", at positions 28 to 507 of the family's 1533-position model. The record is from RNAcentral.